GAUAAAGCAGUGAUGGAGAGAAAAAAUAUCUAUCUUUCUUCAGAGAGCUGGCGGAUGGUGUGAGUCAGUGAAAGCAGAUAUAGAAUAACUCGCUCCAGAGUGAAUGUUUGAAGGAUAUGGAUCUGCGUAGGACAUUCCGGUGGUAUAUGCCAUCGUUAACAAUGACAAGAUUACGGCAUGCCGUAAAUUAGGGUGGUACCGCGAACAGAACUCCUUUUCGCCCCUAGC
This 228-nucleotide non-coding RNA is filed under the name Geosporobacter ferrireducens. RNAcentral's name for it is "T-box sequence". It matches the Rfam family "T-box leader". Rfam says of the family: Uncharged tRNA acts as the effector for transcription antitermination of genes in the T-box leader family. T-boxes are found upstream of many aminoacyl-tRNA synthetase genes and some amino acid biosynthetic genes usually in Gram-positive bacteria. The record is from RNAcentral. Lineage: Bacteria; Bacillati; Bacillota; Clostridia; Peptostreptococcales; Thermotaleaceae.